CUGAGCAUACGCAGGCUAGGCAGCCCAGGCAGGCCAGGCAGGGCAGGCAUGGCAGCCUCCUGCUUGCAGAGAUCGCCAGAUCAACACCUUCCCCAGGGCCCUUGGAACCUGUGCUCAUCCUGCCCAGGGCCCAUGGGCCAAGACUCACCGGGCUCUGGUGCCACCUGACAGUCUCACCCCUCCUCCCGACAGGCUUCCUGCCAGAGGCAUUUGUGACAGAACAGCUGAUAUCCAAACAAGGCUGUACUUCCCAGCUUCUUUUGUGGCUGAGCGUGUUCACGACAGAGUUGUGGCCAAGGCCAAUGGGACACACAUGGAGUUUUGUAUGAG
RNAcentral lists this long non-coding RNA (330 nucleotides) under Heterocephalus glaber (naked mole-rat). RNAcentral describes it as "lncRNA (ENSHGLG00000036072.1)". Lineage: Eukaryota; Metazoa; Chordata; Mammalia; Rodentia; Bathyergidae. The record is from RNAcentral.